Macaca mulatta (Rhesus monkey) is the source of this 4100-nucleotide long non-coding RNA. NCBI's taxonomy places the organism in Eukaryota, Metazoa, Chordata, Mammalia, Primates, Cercopithecidae. The record is from Ensembl.
AUGCCACAGAAAUUGGUUCUUUACUCACUCCGGAAGGACCCAAGCGGCCUCCACUUGGGGUUCCUCCGGCUUUAUGUGGCGCUGCUGCACCACGUCCUCCCCUACACGUGGGGGUUGGUGGUCCGAUUUCCUCACCCUCAACGGACCACGCGCUCGCAAAGAACCCAGGGCCUCUUCCACCAGCCCGCAGCCGAUGCACAGAGCGCCACUAUACCACCUUUCAUGUCACCCGCGGAGUUUUGCAGCCGUGACGGCAACUGCACCUGCGCACCUGGCAACACAAAUAGGCCACACCCUCGCCACCAUGUGACCUCCUCCCCAUCACGGGACCCGUUGCUCCCCACGCUGGCCCAGGACCGCAAGUUCCCGGUUACCUUUAUUUCGCUGGUUUUCCGAACCUCCAACGAAACGCACUCGCCGUCCGCUUGCUGUCCUCUUGCUUGCCGCUAGCUCCAGAUGGCUACCAUUCGGAAAAUCAGCUCCGCUACCAAACACAAGUGGAAAGAAAGCGUAAGCGGGUGAAAAAGCUGAGAAAGUGGAAGAGGGCGACGGACCCCCAGCCCCUUAGCUCAAAAUGACCACCCGGGAGCAGAGAUACCCUUUGCGAAGCUUUCUUUUUCUUUGUGUGUCUAUUCGUCAACGCAGGUGCCCCCCUCGCCACCGCCUCUUCACCUUUCCCUGUGCGAAAGGCUUUGUAGUCUUCCAAUUAGCAAGUCAAUGAAACCGGACGCCAGGGCACCCACCCUGGGUCCUGGCUUCUGGCGCUACUGAUACUCUCUUCUCUUGCACUACCGCGGGAGUGAGGUGGGGGGCUGGGAGAGGCAGGUGGGACUGGAGACUCAUCUCUCACCUGCAUCUAAGAAUACUAUUUAUGAAGGAGAACAAAGGAAAGCAAAACCUUUCCAGCUUCCCGUUUUCACAUUGGGUUAUAUUUUGUUUUGAAAAUGAACACAUAGAAGAUAAUUUUAGCCAUAUAUAGGAUAAUCAUAAUUCCUAACCUACAAGAAUACAAUUUGUCAUGCCCGUCUCAUAAUCCCUCAGAUCUAACGUUUGUUCCCAUCACUUUCCGCUGUCCCUCAAGUUUCCUUCAGGCCUGUCUUCUCUGUCUGAAUUGUCUGUAAUUUGGCGCUGGAGAAAUGAAGGAGUGGAUCCUGCCUCAGGGCGGGUGUAGGAUUGCACACAAGUAGGGGCCCCAGUCCACAAGCAAAGGCAGGAAGGACUUGUGCUUGAAAGACUUCAUAAAUCACAUUUAUCUUACACUGGAUGGUUCUGUUAGUAGGUCAGACUUUUAAUAUGAAUGUUCACGCUCCUUCUUGUGAAUCUAUUUUAGGGGAAACCUAAUUAUUUUCUUUCACAAUAAAGGGUUUGUUGGGAGAGUGGCAGAAAAGAGGAACUUUUUUUUUUUUUUUUUGAGAUGGAAUUUCACUCUUGUUGCCCAGGCUGGAGUGCAAUGGCCCGAUCUCGGCUCACCGCAACCCCCGUCUCCCUGGUUUAAGCGAUUCUCCUGCCUCAGCCUCCCAAGUAGAUGGGAUUACAGGCGCCCGCCAACAUGCCCAGCUAAUUUUUGUAUUUUUAGUAGAGACAGGGUCUCGCCAUGUUAGCCAGGCUGGUCUUGAACUCCUAACCUCGGGUAAUCCACCCGCCUCGGCCUUCCAAAGUGCUGGGGAUUACAGACGUGAGCCACCGCGCUCGGCCUGAACUUCUUUCAAUGGUGCCAAUCUUAUGAACCUCAGACACCUCUCAGUGAGAACUUGCUGGCAUUUUGUGUGGAGAACAGAACCGAGAGGACCAAUCUGGACAAGGGGAGCCAAUUGGAAAACUGCAGGCCCAGGAUUAUUUUAUUUUCAUUCUCUAGAGCAGAGUUGCAAUAGAGCGCUAUUGACAUUUUGGAUUAGAUAUUAUAAUUCUUUGUUGUAGGGGCUGUUCUAUGCAUUACAGGAUGUUUACUAGCAUUCCUGUUCUUUACCUACUAUAUUCCUCAGUCACAGCUAUUUACCUACUAUGUUCCUCAGUCAUAACAAUUAAAAAUGUCUUCUUACAUUGUCAGAUGACCCUUGUGAGGGCAAAAUUGCUCCAUUAGAUAAAUUACUGCUCCACGAGUAUGUAGCAUUGUUUUGGCUUACUAUUUAUUUUUGAGACAGGGUCUGGCUCUGUCUCUCAGGCUGCAGUGUGCAGUGAAACAAUCAUAGCUCACUGUGGCCUCAAACUCCUGGGCUCAUGGGAUCCUCCCUCUUCAGCCAGUCCCAGUAGCUGGGCCUACAGGCACCGGACCACUACUCCCGGCUAAUUUUUGUAUUUUUUGUUGAAACAGGAUUUCACCACGUUGGCCAUGGCUGAUCUCAAACUGCUGAUCUCAAGCGACUUUACCUGCCUCAGGCUCCCAAACUACUGGUAUUACAGGCCUGAGCCACCAAGCCCGGCCUAGUUUACUAUUUAUUGAUUAGGGUAUUUUUUCAACUUUGUAAGGGACCGUCGUUAACUUGUAGACAACUGUGAUGAUGCAAAUGAACUUCGUCUGAUAUUUAGUUAUUUUCUGUCCUGUAGAAACAGUAACAGUUAUAUUGCCCUAUGGGGCAGUUUCUAGUUCUCUAUUUCACUUAGCAAAGUUAAUUUACAGCAUCGCUUCUUUCAGUGACUAUCAAAUUCUUUGAAUCGGUUUUACCAUCUUGAUGAUUCCCUCAUUAGUGAAUUAAACCUUUGGCAAAUGUUUAUUUCAUAUUCAUAUAAUAAUCAUGCAUUUAACCGUUUGAAAAGUGUAUUUUGACCAAAUGAAUAAUAGUAAAUACAUCUUUGAAACAGGAUAACUUAUUCAGUCCAUUGAGGUUGGAGAGGAGAUAAAACAUUACAUUUAAUUCAUCCAGACUCGCCCCACUCAAAUAAAUGUUUCAUGGACUUGAGGAGAUUAAUGGCCAAGUUAAAUGUGCUUUCAAUUCUUGUUCAGAAAAGAAAAAAAAAAAUCUGUGUGCCAUAAAGGAGUGAACAUUGGGCUCAAUGGACUACUUGUACAAGAAGGAUCAUUUGCCCUGUGCAUGUUGUAUUACAUGACAAGGUAAUUAUCUUUAAUGGAACAUGAAGAAGAAUGAAACAGAUUUCUUUUCCUUUUUCUUUCUUUCUUUUUUGUUUUUUUGUUUUUUUGUUUUUUUGUUUGUUUUUUUGAGAGGGAGUCUUGCUCUGUCCAGCAGCUGGAGUGCAAUGGCAACAUUUCUGCUCACUGCAACCUCUGCCUCCUGGGUUCCAGCGAUUCCCCUGCCUCAGCCUCCCGAGUAGCUGGGAUUACAGGCGCCCACCACCAUGCCCGGCUGAUUUUUGUAGUUUUAACAGAGACGGGAGUUUCUCCAUUUUGGCCAGGUUGGUCUCGAACUCCUGACCUCAAGUGAUCUCCCCAUCUCGGCCUGCCAAAGUCCUGGGAUUACAGAGGUGAGUCAACAUGCCAGGCCAUAAUGAAACAGAUUUCCGAUGCCAGAUUCCACAAGUGGAUUUCUUCGUUAAUGAGGGAGGAUAAUAGCUAUUCUGAGCUUCAGAGUCAUAGAAAACUAGACAAGAACCUUACACUUUGCAAAACUAAUAUUUGAAAUGAUAUUACCCUGUGUUAAAGUUGAUCAUCUAAAAACGUAUCAUUUUAGCACCCCCAUAGAUAGGUUUCUGCUGAGUUAAGAAUUAAUGUGAUGGCCAGCUGCUGUGGGCUCACGCCUAUGAUGCUAGGAUUUUGGGAGGCCAAAGCGGACGGAUCACUUGAGGCCAAGAGUUCGAGACCAGAUUGGCCAACAUGGCAAAAUCACAUCUCUACUAAAAAUACAAAAAUUAGCCAGGCGUGGUGGCUUGCGCUUGUAAUCCCAGCUAUUCGGAGACUGAGGCGGGAGAACGGGAGAAUCGCUUGAACCUGGGAAGUGGAGGUUGCAGUGAGCCGAUAUCGCGCCACCGCACUCCGGUCCGGGCGACAGAGCGAGACUGUGUCUCAAAAAAAAAAAAAAAAAAAAAAAAAAAAAAUAGUAUGCUUUCGAAAUUGCGUUAUUUAGCCUGCUCUUCCUUCUCCUCCUCCUGUCAAUUAUCUCAAUAAAAUCUCAUUAAAAUUGCAGUGUUAAAAUGUUUCAAAUUCUAUU